Molecule: long non-coding RNA, 7173 nt
Filed under: Eucalyptus grandis
Lineage: Eukaryota; Viridiplantae; Streptophyta; Magnoliopsida; Myrtales; Myrtaceae
Description: long non-coding RNA (EGRA_LNC002430)
Source: RNAcentral
UAUAAUCACUCCUCAAGGGGUUAUGAUCCAUUGAGUAAUCGAAUGAUAACUUCAUUACAGGGAAACAUCUAUACAUAUUGUCUCAACAAAUGCAAAUUAAACAGCAAAGGCUAGACAAGACUGCUAUAUGUCAAAUUUUGUAGGGUAAAUAUCCUGAAAAAGGAAAAGCUGCUAGUAUUUUUACUUAUGUUAACUAUUAUAUAUUCGACAUCUUGUAUAUACCAAUGCAAAUAGGAUCAAGUGCCUUAACGAAGAUAUCAAUCUAGGUUCAUGAGACCCUCGUACUCUUUGUAACAAGAACAAGGUGGCCAAAAUUUCUCCUCCAUAUGGCCUCAUUGCUCUUUGAGACUCAAAUGUAUCAAGCUCCCACUCUAAAAACUUAUUUUUGUGUUUUGCAGGCUUAAGGGAAGCAGCUGUCAGACACCGGAUGAGAAGAAAGUCCCCUGUCAUCCUAUCCUAAAUAAAUAUGGUUGAUAACGUGCCACAACUUGUUAUAGUGCCUUGAUACAAAUCUUACACCUAUAUGGUGUCUUGUACUAAGAAUGCUAAUAAAAAAAUUUGCUUCUGAAAUCUCUCUUUCUUCCUUUGCUUCAUGUCACUUGAUCCUUAAUUUAAUUAGCUAAAAAAGCGAUCUCGUUCAAACAAUUAUUGAGCUGUAAUUGACAUUGUAUAACUAAAAGCACCACUGAUAAAGAAAUUGGCAAACAAAUUGCGAGGGAUGCUGACAAAUUAAACCCAUUUGAUUGACACCAGGAAGCAUUUUUAUGUAGCUUCAGUUGAAUGCAUCAACAUCGUUCAGAUGGAUUCACAUAUCCAUCUAACAAAGUAAUUUACCUGGAGCCUCCUACUAGUCGCAUUAGAGCAAGAAAGAGAGAUAUAGCAGAUAUCACAUCGUUGAUGCACUCAAUUGCAUGAUCAUGAUCUUAAACCACAUCCAGCAACUGGGGUAAAGUAGACUAGAACAUGCAUUUGUUCACACGCCUUCUUUUAGCUGAAAGAAUUUCUUCAUCGCCCUAACAUCACCUUCUAAAGGUCGCGUCUCCUAAAUAUCACACAAUGUAGGAUUCUGCAGAAGCCUGCAUGACAUAAAGAAAAUAGAAAGAAAAAAGCUGAAGUUCAUCCGCUUGAUGAACCACCCCAGAAGCCGUACGUUGAAGUCACUGGACGGAAUAAUAGUUCCUUAUCUAGACAGAUAUUUUUUAACUCAGAUUUGUCCUCAAUGAUGAAAGAAGUACUUGAAUAAGCGACAAACCUAGGAAGUAAGGUUGGACAACGGUCGUUUCAAGGAUGGGCAAGAAUACUUUUAGGGCCUCUUAAACUGUUACUAGUUCACUUGCCCAAAAAGAGUUCGAUCAGCUUAAACCAAGGCAAAUGCCCAACCCAACCAUCUCACCUCAUUAAGAGAUCAGAAACUUUGGCCUCACUAAAUAAAAAGAACGAACUUAGGUUUUAACAUUUGAGGAGAAUGGCUAACCAAAAGGGAUGUGGAAGCUAGCAACUAUUAGUUUCUGAAGCUCACUUUCUCAGUUUUUUCCACCUUAAAAAGUGAAUAUCGAACUGCCCAUCGCCCUUAACCCCACUUGUAGCCAAAAUUUUGUAGUUUCUGGUGCAUGACCUCGAUUCUCAGGGCAACUUUUGAGCACGAGCGAUUGAAGUGCAGUGUACUAAGUUAAUAGAGAUGACUAAGGCAUUACAUUAAGGCUGUGUUUGGUGACACUCCUAGGAAUAGGCAUUUCUAUUUUUUUGUUUUCGUGAGCAGAAAUAAAACAAAAACGCAUUUAGUAAGUUUUUUGUUCUUAAUGACAGAUUUGGAACAUAAAUAAGAAAUAAAAAAAAGUUACUCUUUGUUCCUGGGAACAACUCCAAAAACAAAAAUCAAGCUUUUUUUCCUUUCUCUUCUUUUUUUUUUUUCUCUUCCUCUAUUAUUCCCCUAACUGAUCACCAGCCUUGGCGUCAGAAUCUCGCUGGCCUCGAGCGAGGUUGCCUUGAGCUCACCAGCCAUCGGCAAGGCUCCCUCGAGGCCAACGACCUCACUAGCCCUUGUUUAGCCGGUGGUCGAUUGGCGAUCGGUAGGAGAAAUGAGAAGAAAAAGAUUAAAAAAAAAGAAAAAAGAAAAUUGUAAUAAAAUUAUUAAUAAAUUAAAAGAAAUUAUAAGUCACAAAUAUUUAUGAGCUCAUACCAAACACGUUUUCCUUUCGGAAAUAGAAAUUUUGUGUAGUUACCAAAUGUGUUCAAAUGUUCAGAAACUGCUCUUGAGAAAAAAAAAUAGAAAAAAGUAUUUCUAAAUAAAAAAUAUUCUCUUAAACAAAAACUUUACCGACCGAUGCACGCUAAGUAAACAUUAGGUAUCCUGGUUAUUGUCAUCCCCAUGUAAUCAAACCAAAAAAAAAGUAAAAGGAAAAAGGUACUAGACCAAGAAAUUUAAGGUAUCAUCAUUGAGUGACCAAAACACAGCUCAGAACAAAACGAAAACCGAAAACCAAAUGAGGCCGGGACGGAUCUGGUUCGGGCAUUAUGUCGAACAUCUAGUGGUUGUCGACCGAGUGGGGGCGUCUGAAGACAUCCAAGACAAAAACUCAAGCCAAAAUCAUCAUACAGCAAACAAAAAAUGCUCAAGGUUGACUCAGAAACGAUUCCUUCACGUUAAACACAAGCAUAAACGAGGAACAAGGAGUCCCCCCCUCGGUUGAAGCGAGACAGGACAAAACAGAGCAUCAAACGGGGAAGUGGGCAACGCAAGCUGGGUUGCCGGAGGUGGCCCUAGUCGCGUUGGUGGCGGCGAAUGGAAGGCGAACCUGAUCCGAUGGACUCAUUCCGGUCGCCUUGCAUGCCUCCCAGCCAGGAUCCUGGGGGAGUAGGGUUAAAUUAAACAAACGGAAAAAGAACUUACCGGCAGAAGGUGAUGUCGGAAAGGGGAGAGCGCGAGCCCGACGACGUCGGCCUGGGCUCCAGUUUGGUUCUCACGCACCUCUCCGUUAUUUCCACUCGUGGUCUUUGUUCUCUCCUCCCUCCCCCGCCAUUUCCUCGGCCACCUCUCUCCCUUCUAAACCUGCCGCAGGUCUCCGCUUUUGGGCAUCCCUCCAAAGUGACACCGGAUGGUCGGCGAAGCCAGCUACCUUUCCCCUCAAUCUCUAUAGCUCAGGACCGCCGCUCAUCAGUCCUCUCUGUGGCUGUGUCAACACCUGCAACGAUUUUGGUUUUUUGGGCAAGUUGGUUACAUUUUCUGCUAAGGGCGCGUGCGUGGUAAGGUUUCUGUUUAAAAAUUGUUCCAAGGAACCGAAAUAAAAAAAAAAAUGUUUUUGUUCCGGAGAAUAAUUUUUGAAUAAAAAAAUCUAUUUUGUAAACUUGUUUCGGGAAUAAAAAUUGAAUAGAAACAUGUUGGGUAAUUUUGUGUUCUUUUUUUUGUUUCUUUUUUUUUUCUUCUUUUGGCUGGCAGCCUCGCCCAACCAUGGCAAGGCUCGCCGGCCCCCGGCAAGGAUGAGCCUCACCGUGGUUGGGUGAGGCUCGACCUCACCUUGGUUGGGUGAGCUCGAGCUCGCCCAGAUCCGGCGAGCCCGAGCUCACCCAGCCUUGCCCCGCGUCGGUGAGGCUUGGCCUCGCCUUGGCUGGGCGAGCUUACGAACCCAAGCUUGCCCAGUCAAGGCGAGGCCAAGCCUCGCUAGGGGCUGGCGACGCUUCGGCGAGGUCGCCGGCCCUCGAUGGCUGCUCGCCAGCCAUGGCCAAGGCCAGUGACAGGCCAAAGAAAAAAAAAAAGAAAAGAAGAAAAAAAAGAGAAGAGAGAAACUUUGUUCUUAAAAAUUGUUCCAGAAACAAGAAACACGUUCUUUCUUGUUUCUUGUUUUUGUUCCAAAUGUGUUCCUAGGAACAAAAAAAUAGAUUUGGAAUAAAAACACAAACAAACGCAUUUUUGUUCUUUUUUUAUUCCCUGGAACAAAAAAACGAAAAUUUUGUUCAUAAAUAGAAAUAAAGAACAUUAACAAAUAGGGCCUAAGACGGCAGCAGGCUAUCCUGGGCUCUGUCCACCAUAGGCGCCGCCACCACCCAAACAUGGGGAGGGGGUUGGGCCGAGAAGAAGGACAGAAAAAAGAAAGGGCCGGGCAGUCAAGAAAAAAAGUAAAGCAAGUGAAAGGGCCCGGCCCAAGUGGCGAGGAAGGAGGGGCCAGGCCCUCCCCCCCUUUUUAAAAUAAUAAUUUUUAAUACUUAAAAAAAAAACUAUGUUCUAAUAAAUUAUAUUAUGCAAAUGCACCUAGUGUUUACAUGCUAUGCAAUUUAAUUGUACUAUUUUCUUUUUUUCAAGGGUUAAAAUUAACCCAUAGUUUUCUAUACAAUUUAUCAAUAAAUGUUUAGCCAAAAAUUUAGGUGUUGACACUACGAGUAGGAGGUAGGGAUUGAACUGAAGGUUUUGGUCUUAAGAAUGAUGAUCACUCUUACUCCUUGAAAAAAAAAUCAAUUGCAGUAGAACUGUUGUAAUAAAUAGUUAAUCCCCUUCUUGUUAGUUUUUGGCCCAACAGAAUGAAGAUCUUCGCAUCGUCUGAUCUUAAAGUUGUCCAUUCAUUAGUAUUCUUAAACUCUUGUCUCCAGCUUACUUUUCAGCAGAGACUGCAAAAGCUAUAUUACGUGCAAUCCAGGAAGACGAUAAAUGCUACUAAUGCUUCAGACUCAUCGAAGGAGGGUCGAGAAUUCUCUUCACCUCUUUCGGAGGAAUCGUAAAAUCAAAGCAGUUAACCGAUACUCGAUGAAGAUGCAAGAGUUCGGCAAUGGGGUAUUGUUUAAAAUUAUAGUUUAACAAGUUUUUGUUGCCAUAAUACUAUCUUAUUAUAAAGGAGAAAGUUCUAAGAAAUCAAGCUUAAGGAGACCAAAUGAAGAGGACGCAUUAGAAAGCAAUGUAUUGCAGGGCAAUAUAAAGCUCACCAUCAAGUGAGAGCGGAAAGAAGACAAACAUUUUGGAGGAUAUCCCAAGCAAGCUAUUGUUUCUAAUAAAAAUCCUAGAAUCCUAGAUCUGUAUCUCAGUUGUGGAAGAGUUUACAAAAAGCUUUGAGUAUUAAACUCAACUUUAGUACAGCCUUUCACCCCGUAGAUAAAUGGACAAUCAGAGAGAAUUAUCUCGAUGCUAGAGGAUAUGUUGAGGUCCUGCGCAAUUGACUUUGGCUGUUUGUGGGACGAAGAUCUCCUAUGAUAGUAGCUAUCAUUCUAGUAUUAAGAUAGCGUCAUUUGAAGUUCUGUGUGGUCGGAAAUGCAUAACUCUUAUCUAUUGAUAUGAUGUUAGAGAAAAAAGCCUAACCAACCUAGAAUUCAUUCAACAGUGAGGAGAAAAUCAGGUUGGAUCAAGAACAUUUCAAAAUAGCUCAAAGUCAUUAAAAAAGUUACUUAGAUCUUAAAAACUGCAAGGUAGAAUUCAGCAUGGAAGAUCAUGGAUUCUGCAAAGUUUCUUCUAUGAAAGGCAUUAGGAGAUUUAGCAUGCGUGGGAAUUUGAGUACAAGAUACGUAAGACCAUUCUUGAUCUUAGAUAGGAUUGAUGAAAUCACUUACAAACUAACUUUACCAUCAGCACUAUACAAAGUGCAUAAUGUGUUCCAUGUCUUUUUGUUACCGGAUUGUGUCAAAUCCUAAACAUAUAUUAGAUUUUACGCUUUUAAGGUUAACAAAGAACUUGACCAUAAGCACUAUAUAGCAUGCAUAAUAUGUUCCAUGUCUUUUUGUUACGGAAUUGUGUCAAAUCUUAAACACAUAUUUUGAUGGUAUGUUGUUGGAGGACGGCCAUGUCAUUUUCCUUAUUGGUUUCAGGGUGUGACUUUUCAGAUUGGGUUUUGAUGAUGACUCACCUUCGAAAUAAAUCAAUUAGAUGGAGAAGGACGGGCUAGUGCCCACUUGGAAACCAUUUUCCACCGUAUUCAUUGGAAUUUUUUCAAUGGUCCGUUGAGAAUAAAGUUUGGAAUUUUAUGUAAUGGAGACAGAAUAGAUGCUAUAUUGUCCCAUCCUGCAAAAGCAAAAUCAAAGAGUAAUGCACCAGAAGCGAGAGAACCCCACUCAGCCCCAUGCCUAUAAAUUGCUAUUCAAGACUGCCUCAUAGUGCCAAGCAAGAACUCAAAACAGCCUGAGAGAACUACACAAAAAGCCCUCACCCUCUUGCUUCAGUUUCCAUGGCCUCCGUCCACUGCUUCAAGGAUGCCGAGAAAACCUACUACCAACAGAGCCAAAACGGCCAUCCCAUGGAACACAAAAUGAGCCACAGCCAGACCCAGUGCUAUGGCCAGAGUGAGAAACACCUUCCAUCGGGCCAUGGCCACAUGGCUAAAGCUCAUGGUCACCACAGUGAGCAUGCCAUGGCCAAAACCCAGACUCCCUGCAUGGGCCAGAACAAUGGCCAUUACCUUGGCCAACAUGCCCAGACUCACUGCAUUACUCAAGCUCAUGGCCACAAGAAAGAGAAAUCUGCUUGCCAUGGGAAGUCUAAGAAGAAGGAGGAGCACAAGAAGAAAGAGAAGAACAUGCUCAAGAAGAAAUCCAAGGAAUGCAAAUCUGGUGAUAGCAGCAGCAGCAGCAGCGAGAGCGAGAGCGAUCAUGACCACUGCUGAAAGGUGAAGAUAUAGAAGGUAGACAACCAGGAGGUAGCUAACUAUUUCACAUAACUUAAGGAUUAACAAAUAUGGUUAUAAUGACUAUAAUCACUCCUCAAGGGGUUAUGAUCCAUUAAGCAAUCAAAUGAUAACUUCGUUACAGGGAAACAUCUAUACAUAUUGUCUCAAAAAAUGCUAAAUUAAACAGCGAAGGCUAGACAAGACUCCAAUAUGUCAAAUUUUGUAGGGUAAAUAUCCUUAAAAAGGAAAAGCUGCUAGUAUUUUUACUUAUGUUAACUAAUAUAUUUAUAUUUGACAUCUUGUAUAUACCAAUGCAAAUAGGAUCAAGUGCCUUAACGAAGAACAAGGUGGCCAAAAUUUCUCCUCCAUAUGGCCUCAUUGCUCUCUGAGACUCAAAUGUAUCAAGCUCCCACUCUAAAAACUUAUUUUUGUGUUUUGCAGGCUUAAGGGAAGUAGCUGUCAGAGACCGGAUCAGAAGAAAUUCCCCUGUCAUCCUAACCUAAAUAAAUAUGGUUGAUAACAUGCCACGACUUGUUAUAGUGCCUUGAUACAAAUCUUACACCUAUAUGGUGUCUUGUACUAUGAAUGCCAAUGA